RNAcentral lists this transfer RNA (83 nucleotides) under Cellulosimicrobium phage DS1. Its description in RNAcentral is "tRNA-Leu". It matches the Rfam family "tRNA". Rfam says of the family: Transfer RNA (tRNA) molecules are approximately 80 nucleotides in length. Their secondary structure includes four short double-helical elements and three loops (D, anti-codon, and T loops). The record is from RNAcentral. Lineage: Duplodnaviria; Heunggongvirae; Uroviricota; Caudoviricetes.
GGCCCUGUGGCGAAACUGGCAUACGCGCUGCACUCAAAAUGCAGUACCGAAAGGUUUGUGAGUUCAAAUCUCACCAGGGCUAC